Tripterygium wilfordii is the source of this 1321-nucleotide long non-coding RNA. RefSeq lists it as uncharacterized. The record is from RefSeq and is a predicted model, not a curated record. Lineage: Eukaryota; Viridiplantae; Streptophyta; Magnoliopsida; Celastrales; Celastraceae. The transcript has 3 exons.
AGUUCUGGUCGCCGGCCAGCCACCAUUUCCGGCCAACAUUCAUUCAAGCCUUUAGUUCACCCAUUUAGCUCCAAAUCAAGGUAUUUAAGUCAAACUUUUCCUACUCUCCUUAGUUGCUGGAAAUUAGGUUUUGACACAUCAAAAUCUUGUUAUUUAGGUGCAAUUGAAGGAAUUUAUACUUGGGGAUUGGUUCGACAAGUUGGUGCCAUUGCUAUGCAAUGUUACGUCACGUCCAUCUUUUAAUCCCGGGGCAUUUUUAUCAUUCCCUCACAUUCCCUUUCCCUGUGGAGAUCAGGGCAUGACAAAUGAAGCUCUUUGAACUGGUUAAUCAUCAUAAUGAUCUCAUAUCACUCAAGAUUCAACUUUGAAAGUGAAUGAAGUUCGAUUUUGAAGUAUGAGCUUGGAGCUCUAUGAAACCAAGAAAAUCCUAGUUCAUCAACCUUCCAUUAAGGUACAUUGAGAGAUGAUUGGAACAAUCCUUAGGGCUAUAUAUUCUGGAGAUUAUGAGCUGCAAAUUCAUAUUUGUAUUGUGAAGAAUUCUGGUUGUGCAUGCCUUUGCAACAUUUGACCCAAUUGAGACUAGUUGUGCGACAUUGGUCUAGCUUGAUUAAUUUAAUGAUUGGACCAAGUAUGAUAUAGUAUAUGUGCCGGAAAUUAAUCAAGAUUGUUUCUAGAAGACUUAUCAAAGCUUAGAGAGAUGUCUCUACAAAGUUUGAAAUCAAGAGACAAAGCUUGGAGGCAAAAUAGGAGAGUGAGUCACAUCACUUUUACCUUAAAUGGACCAACAUAUGGUACAAUUGUGGACAAUACUUUGUACUUCUUUCUAGAAUUGGUUAGUUCCUUGUGUUGGGUGCAUUUGUGAAAGAGUGUGAGCUACAUUGAAGACCUAUUCUCUACAACCAAACAUGGCCUGUCUAAAGGAGAUUUUUUCAAAAUUGUUGGAGCCAAAAUGAAGAGCCAAGAUUGCAUAGUACAACUCAUCCUAUGGUCAAGAUUUAAAGUGUAAAAAGGUAUUUUUCGUCCCUUAACUAUGGACGUAGUUUCAUUUUCGUCAUUUUCCUUUUUUUGUCCCAUUUUCGUGUCCCAUCUAUGGCAAGGUAUCCAGUUUGUCCCUCGAAUAAAUUCGACGAUGAAAAAAUCAUAUGUGGCAUCUAAGUUGGCUGAAAUUGUACAUGUGGAAUAAUGAUGUGUAAGGGUCCAUGUAAGAGAGGAUGAAGCUUGGAAGAGCAUCUGUGGAGGCUUCCAUGGGUAAUGCUUUUUUCUUGCAAGGUGGGGAUUGUGUGGAGAGUUUCAAGGAGUUAAAUGCCUACAAUAUUCGUCA